CCUACGGGUGGCUGCAGUGGGGAAUAUUGGACAAUGGGCGCAAGCCUGAUCCAGCAAUGCCGCGUGGGUGAAGAAGGUCUUCGGAUCGUAAAGCCCUUUCGACAGGGACGAUGAUGACGGUACCUGUAGAAGAAGCCCCGGCUAACUUCGUGCCAGCAGCCGCGGUAAUACGAAGGGGGCUAGCGUUACUCGGAAUUACUGGGCGUAAAGGGCGCGUAGGCGGCUUGGCCAGUCAGGCGUGAAAUUCCUGGGCUUACCCGGGGGACUGCGCUGUAUACUGCUGGGCUUGAGGCCGAGAGAGGGUGGUGGAAUUCCCAGUGUAGAGGUGAAAUUCGUAGAUAUUGGGAAGAACACCGGUGGCGAAGGCGACCACCUGGCUCGGUACUGACGCUGAGGCGCGACAGCGUGGGGAGCAAACAGGAUUAGAUACCCCAGUAGUCAA
RNAcentral lists this ribosomal RNA (442 nucleotides) under uncultured Acetobacteraceae bacterium. Its description in RNAcentral is "bacterial SSU rRNA". It matches the Rfam family "Bacterial small subunit ribosomal RNA", at positions 338 to 797 of the family's 1533-position model. Lineage: Bacteria; Pseudomonadati; Pseudomonadota; Alphaproteobacteria; Acetobacterales; Acetobacteraceae. The record is from RNAcentral.